Long non-coding RNA from Mustela erminea (ermine), 181 nucleotides. RefSeq lists it as uncharacterized. NCBI's taxonomy places the organism in Eukaryota, Metazoa, Chordata, Mammalia, Carnivora, Mustelidae. The record is from RefSeq and is a predicted model, not a curated record. The transcript is spliced from 3 exons.
ACAUCUGUCACCCCAUUGAUCGCCAGGGUUGAUUCGGCUGAUCUGGCUGGCUAGGCGGGUGUCCCCUUCCUCACCGCUCCAUGUGCAUCCCUCCCGAAGCUGUGCACUCGGUCGAAGAGGACGACCUUCCCCGACAGAGGAGAGGACUGUUCUUCGGUCAAGGGGACAAAGCAAGAGAAGG